Molecule: signal recognition particle RNA, 304 nt
Filed under: Salmo salar (Atlantic salmon)
Lineage: Eukaryota; Metazoa; Chordata; Actinopteri; Salmoniformes; Salmonidae
Description: Metazoan signal recognition particle RNA
Rfam family: Metazoan signal recognition particle RNA
About the family: The signal recognition particle (SRP) is a universally conserved ribonucleoprotein. It is involved in the co-translational targeting of proteins to membranes. The eukaryotic SRP consists of a 300-nucleotide 7S RNA and six proteins: SRPs 72, 68, 54, 19, 14, and 9.
Source: Rfam by way of RNAcentral
GCCGUGUGCGGUGGCGCGUGCCUGUAAUCCAAGUCACUGGGAGGCUGAGGUUGGUGGAUCGAGUGAGCUGAGGAGCUCUGAGCUGCAGCAUGCUAUGUCGAACGGGUGUCCGUGCUAAGUUCGGUAUCGAUAUGGUGGUUUCUGGGGGGAGCCCGAGACCACCAGGUUGCUCUAAGGAGGGGUGUACCGCGCCCAGGUCGGAAACGAAGCAGGGUCAAAUCCCCCGUACUGUCCAGUAGUGGGAUAGUGCCUGUGAGUAGAUGCUGCAGUGCAGCCUUGGCAAGACAUCGAAACCCAAUCUUUU